This 269-nucleotide long non-coding RNA is filed under the name Mytilus galloprovincialis (Mediterranean mussel). The record is from RNAcentral. Lineage: Eukaryota; Metazoa; Mollusca; Bivalvia; Mytilida; Mytilidae.
AGUUGUCUUAUUUUUGAUAUUCAAAUACGGCGAUUAGUUAUUCUUUUUAUUACAUUGGCAAAUGGCUUUUUUUUAUGAAAUUAAUGUAGAAAAUGUAAGGAACUAUAUCUUUUUCCUACGCAUUGACAAUUUGUUUUGAUCCGACGUUAUCGACGUCUUGACAACGCCUAUUGUUGUAUGAUGUCAGAGAGUGAAAUAACCACGUUUAUUUCACAUGUGAAAUUAUCGGUUUUUAUCUAACUGGGAAAUCAAUGUAAUUCAUUGCAACC